Molecule: ribosomal RNA, 203 nt
Filed under: Gammaproteobacteria bacterium
Lineage: Bacteria; Pseudomonadati; Pseudomonadota; Gammaproteobacteria
Description: partial 23S ribosomal RNA
Rfam family: Bacterial large subunit ribosomal RNA
Source: RNAcentral
GCUAUGAACGGACGGGAUAACCGCUGAAAGCAUCUAAGCGGGAAGCCCCCCUUGAGAUGAGGUCUCACUAGCGACUUGAUCGCUCUGUAGGGUCCUUGUAGACCACAAGGUUGAUAGGCUGGGUGUGGAAGUGCAGUAAUGUAUGAAGCUAACCAGUACUAAUUGCCCGUGAGGCUUGACCAUAUAACACCCAAGUAAUUUGG